RNAcentral lists this ribosomal RNA (406 nucleotides) under uncultured bacterium. RNAcentral describes it as "partial 16S ribosomal RNA". It matches the Rfam family "Bacterial small subunit ribosomal RNA", at positions 29 to 526 of the family's 1533-position model. The record is from RNAcentral.
AUUGAACGCUGGCGGCAGGCCUAACACAUGCAAGUCGAACGAGUGGCGGACGGGUGAGUAAUGUCUGGGAAACUGCCCGAUGGAGGGGGGUAACUACUGGAAACAGUAGAUAAUACCGCAUACCAUCGGAUGUGCCCAGAUGGGAUUAGCUAGUAGGUGGGGUAACGGCUCACCUAGGCGACGAUCCCUAGCCGGGCGUCGAGGAUGACCAGCCAAAAUGGAAAUGGGACACGGGCCAGGCGCCUACGGGAGGCAGCAGGGGGGAAUAUUGCACAAUGGGCGCAAGCCUGAUGCAGCCAUGCCGGGUGUAUGAAGAAGGCCUUCGGGUUGGAAAGUACUUUCGGCGAGGAGGCGUUACUCGCAGAAGAAGCACCGGCUAACUCCGUGCCAGCAGCCGCGGUAAUAC